UGAUGUCCUCUCUACUAAAGCCCUUGGAUGUAGUUCCACAUUUUGUCCUGUCAGCCUUCUUGUGGAGGAGGGAUGAUUUGAAGCAGAGAGCGAGAGAUUAUUAGUCUGGGCUGCCUGUGCACAGGCAUGAGUGGGCAUGCAUGGUGGGUGUAAAAGGUCAUAUCCUACUCUGACCAGCUUUAUUCCUGUUUUCCAUUAUUGCAUCAUGAAGACACAAGAUUUAGAGAUCUGUUUUCUUAAGAGUCAAAGAGCAGGGUUUCUCCCAC
RNAcentral lists this long non-coding RNA (266 nucleotides) under Marmota monax (woodchuck). Lineage: Eukaryota; Metazoa; Chordata; Mammalia; Rodentia; Sciuridae. The record is from RNAcentral.